This 253-nucleotide ribosomal RNA is filed under the name uncultured bacterium. RNAcentral's name for it is "partial 16S ribosomal RNA". It matches the Rfam family "Bacterial small subunit ribosomal RNA", at positions 524 to 776 of the family's 1533-position model. The record is from RNAcentral.
UACAGAGGGGGCAAGCGUUGUUCGGAAUUACUGGGCGUAAAGGGCUCGUAGGUGGCCAACUAAGUCAGACGUGAAAUCCCUCGGCUUAACCGGGGAACUGCGUCUGAUACUGGAUGGCUAGAGAUUGGGAGAGGGAUGCGGAAUUCCAGGUGUAGCGGUGAAAUGCGUAGAUAUCUGGAGGAACACCGGUGGCGAAGGCGGCAUCCUGGACCGGUAUUGACGCUGAGGCGCGAAAGCCAGGGGAGCAAACGGG